RNAcentral lists this transfer RNA (76 nucleotides) under Candidatus Kaiserbacteria bacterium RIFCSPHIGHO2_12_45_16. RNAcentral's name for it is "tRNA-Val". It matches the Rfam family "tRNA". Rfam says of the family: Transfer RNA (tRNA) molecules are approximately 80 nucleotides in length. Their secondary structure includes four short double-helical elements and three loops (D, anti-codon, and T loops). Lineage: Bacteria; Candidatus Kaiseribacteriota. The record is from RNAcentral. RNAcentral also lists the same sequence under 3 other names.
GUCCGAUUAGCUCAGCUGGUAGAGCGCUUCGUCGACAUCGAAGAGGUCACAGGUUCAAGUCCUGUAUCGGACACCA